Molecule: long non-coding RNA, 7420 nt
Filed under: Mus musculus (house mouse)
Lineage: Eukaryota; Metazoa; Chordata; Mammalia; Rodentia; Muridae
Description: Sox1 overlapping transcript
Source: RNAcentral
CUGCGAGUGUGUGUGCCGAACGAGGAGCAAGGAGCUUGUGCGAGCGAGUGUGCGAGCGGGGGUGCGCGUGUGAGUGUGCGUGCGCGUGGCGCGGGCGCCGUCGCUGCUCGGAGCCUGGCCGGGCCGGGGUCCGCGGGCUUCAGCGCGUGCGCUUGGCCUGCGGGGAGCCCAGGUCCCACGCGGCCCGCAACCAGACAGGGCUGCGAAGGUGCAGGCGGGCCAAGCGCUGCGGACCCGGCGGGCUGCAGGAAGAACUAACUAUACCCCGAACAUCCGCUGUCAGCAGGCACAAGGCUGUGAUUCAAGAUGAGUGCCCGAAGCUUCCUCUGCCUGUGUGAAGAAGAUCCAGCAAGAGAAGGAAGCAGGGUUCCUGAAAGCCAGGCUGAUGAGGAAAACUCCUGUGCUGAGUUAACGUGGGCGUCUGAGUGGGCAGAGUCAGUGUAUGAACAGCACAGGUGCCCACCCCACCCCCACCCUGGCGGGAAUACUCUAUGAGGUCAAAGCUGGUCCCUGUGUCUGUCUUCAAGGACACAAGCCAAUUUAAAAAGAAAUCAUUCACUUAAAAAGAAUGUUUAGAUCAGCUCCCACUGGUGCAGACUGAUUGGUUAAUAUCAUCUCAACUUAGCGUGUUCUGAAAAUAAGGGUUACUAACCUUCACAGACAACCAGUGGUCUCAGGGAGCCACGAAGCUGUCUCGGGACUGCACACAAGACACACACAGGUGAAGCUGGAUGCAAGUCAGACCUGUGAACUAACUCCCCGCAACCGAGGGGGGAGGAAGUGACCACAUCAUCUCAUUGGCUCUGCAGAUCCAAGUCCACUCAAACGGCAAGCAUGGCCCAGAGUUGGAUGCACCCUCAGAUUCAACAGCCGACCACUGGCAUCCCUUUUUCCCCCUUCCACGGUGGUACAUGGAAUAAAAACACACCCCGGGCUUGCUGGAAUACCAAGGAAACAUUCAUGCCCAUGGAGAGAGGAGCCUUCACUAACCUUGAGUGGGAGAGAAUCAGCCAGGGCCUCUGCGGCACAUGGAAAUACUUGUCUUAAGUAGUUGGCUCUUAGAAAUCACAGCCCAGAUGCCUGAAGCAGAAGGAGAAGCACCUGUAGUGGCUGUCACCCUGCAGGCACCUCUGUUACUGGAGUCACCAAGAAACGGUAUUACGGGAGUCUUGGAAGUGAGAGUGCUCCUCUAAGGAGAGACCCAGGAACCUGUUGCUAAGGGGCCAGCAUGCAGGGUCCCUGCUGGGCCUGCAUAGAAGGAGCCCGGUGCUUAGUGGUUCCUUCCUGAAGCCUAGGCUAAGGAUUCUAUAUGGCUUCAUCCUCCGCUCUACUCAAGCAAAGACAAGCUUCAACUGCUGGGCCUAAGGCACAUGGAGCUCAACUCAACAACUGGGAAUGGAGGACCCCUCCAGAGACCCAGAAGACCCCCGCCCGGGGGGGGGGUGACAUCAGUUGGGGAGCUAUUAAUAACUGCCCUCCCCUCCCUGUCAUAUUUCCUGAACUGUGUGGGGAAGGCGAUUGUGAGGCGCUCUGCUGGAAUUUGGCAGCGCGGAGGCUUGGAGAGCAGCCCCAUGCUGGCUCCUAUUCAGCCGGCCAGUUUUCCUCGAGCUUUGGAAGUUUCACUCAGCCGUGCACUCAAUGGCUUCACAAAGCUGAUUACAAGCUUCAGCGCAUUCCUGAAGGAGCCAAAAGCGACGCAGGUGCAAACGAGCCGAGGGAGCCCCUUAUCCCGGUGACAGAAUGGGACAAGCUGGGAAAGGCUUGGACCACACAAAUCCAAGGCUCACCAGGCAGCAGAGAGCCUGCCUUGGGAACCGGGGGUCAUUAUCCGCCCUAUUCAGCGGGACCGGGGACCCUGGGGCCAAGGAGGCCGGCCGGGCGCAAGCGCCACCGCCAGUACGCGCCUGCAGCAGUGGGGACCCCGCUGGGCGUUGCAACCCGUCGGGAUGUUGGGCGCUGCGUUUGUUCCCACCGACAGCGGUCAGCGAAAUCCAUCCUGCGGGUGAAAGCCGGUGUCCAGGCUAACCGGGAUACAGGAGAAGGAGGGUAGCGAAGAUGCUCAGUGCGUGGACAGUGCGUAACUUUGUCUCCAUCACAGUCACUUAUCUGGAAACCUGCGGCUGGAUUAAUCGCUAUAUUCCCAAGAUGAGCGGUGCUGCAAUCCGCAGUGAACACGGGUGGGAACACGGAAGCUUCCCCUAGGUUCUUGCGGGGGCCAGCAGCUGGCCAGCUCCCUGCAGUGGAUGCUGCACAGUAGCUAGCACCUGUUUGGGCUCGGGUUGGGGGUCUACGAGCACUUAGGCGCACAGAAGAUGUGGAAGAGAGGAAGGAAACAGGCCUGUGGGGACUCCGGCCUGAGAGAGGUUGAUUAGCUCCCAGUAAAGGCACAGAACUGCCUAUAUAAAGAGCUUUUUAACCUGAAAAUGAUGCUGCUGAGUCUUCAGACCGUGGUCUAUUCAGAUGCAGAAAAAUGUUCCCUCCCAUCUUGAUCUCCCAGCCUCACCCCUACCACACCCACAGCUACUCCUUAGGCCCCUCCCCUGGAAUUUUCUCCUUCGGGAUCCUGGUCCUACAAGGGUUAGUAAUAUUUACUUAGGAACUGUGGGCGUGGAAAUAAAUCCUAGUUGUUCAGCCCCUUGCCCUACCUGUUCCAGUUAAAGACGGUGGGUUGUACCCAGGCAGUGGUGGCGCACGCCUUUAGUCCCAGCACUUGGGAGGCAGAGGCAGGCGGAUUUCUGAGUUUGAGGCCAGCCUGGUCUACAGAGUGAGUUCCAGGACAGCCAGGGCUGUACAGAGAAACCCUGUCUCAAAAAACCUAAAAUAUAAAAUAAAAUAAAAUAAGAUGGUGGAGUGUGUGGUGCCAAAGCUCUAGGGAGAAUACUUGUCUACAAAAACUUUCUCUGCUGAGGUCAAAGCAUCAGCUUCGAGGGAACUACCACUUGGUGUGUGAGGUCUCUGCGCCUGGGCAACGGUGUCUCUGUAGGUGUGAAAGCUGGGCAUCAGCUUGUGACAGCUUUAGGCCACAGAAGCCGAAACUGUGCGCCUCCAUUUUGUCAGCAUAUUAAACAUCCAAGAGUGACCACCCAUUGGUCCAUCACAUUAUUAGAUUGUUAGAUUAGGUGGUACCCCAGGAUGCUUCUGCAACAGCCUCUGUAAGCUCCUCUUAAAAGUCUCCUGGUUCCUCCUCUCCAGCAGCGAAAGCAAACAUGUGAAUCUCUGCAAAGCAAGCCGAGCUAAGGUUCCCAGGACAGUCAUCCUCAUGCCCUCUGGAGGCCUUCCGGCUUCAGCUCUCACCUGAGUCCUGUCACCUCUGAUAUGUGGACAAUGCUGAGCUGGACAGCCCCUGGUCAACCAGGCAGAACAGUCUAUGCAAAUGCCGGAGGGCAACCCUGGGAACAGUGCACCCAUUGUCCGGGGCCUUUCAAAGCUGGGAGCAGCUGCUCAGACUGGCCGCCCUGGACCCUUGGCUGCCAGAGUAAUGUCAUCAUUGCAAGAUGUAGACUCUGAAAAUUAUACGACCCGAAUUCAUGAGCAGCCUUGUCUUGAGUGUUUCUGUCUGUGACACAUUUCAAUGUCCAGAGCUGCUUCUGUUGUUGGGGACCGGAGGAGGGCAUGGGCAAGGGAAAGUUUGCAGUUUCUUACUAGAGGGUUUGAAAACUUUACAAACUAGCCUUGGCUUCUGAAGUGGGGCGUCUGGCUUAAAGGGCUAAGAUGUGGAGGCUUUUUUGUUGUCUCUUGCUGCUGCUUGCAAGUUUAAGUGCACUGAAAAGAGACUGGAUGACGAGAUGGAGCAAGAGGCAACCGCAGAUGCCAAGGUCAUUUUCCUUAGCUGGAACUCCAAAUGCCACCUUCUAGAGAAGCAAGCAGGCUGGCUGCAUCAGCACUCUCAGACCACCUCAGCUCCCUUCACAGAAGCAUCAGUGGUUCAUAUCAUCGUUUCCAUCUUCCCUCCCUGCCUCCCCCACCCUCUUCUCUGCAACCUGGACUGUGAAGAGAUGUUCUUUGGCCAGGGGAUGGUGGUUCCUGGUGUAAGAAAUGAGAAUGGAACCAGCAGUGGGUGGCCUGUAGUGUGCCUGCUGCCGAACCUGCAAGUGCAUCCCUCUGGUCUUCAGGCUCACUGCCUACUAAGUGGUAGGGGCGGGCAGGGGAGUGGGGGGGGGGCAAGGCUUCAGGGCUUUAGGUAAGACAGCUUCCUCCUCUCCUUCAAUAUGUUUGGUCCCGGGGACCUCCAGUGUAUUGCAUUUUGCUUUGUUUUGGGUCUCAUUCUAUAACUCAAGCUGGCCUAGAACUCAGUGCAAUCUACCUGUGUCAGCUUACUAGAUGUAGUAUCACAGGCCGGCAGCAUCCUGCUCUGUUGACAGGUCUCCUGCCUCUUCACAGGACUCCACUGCUGUCCCCUCUGCCUUCUCUCUUGGUGGAGCAUGUUCCCAGGAAACACCAAGAAGAGCACCAGGCCACUUGUAGCAGGGUCAUACUCAAGAUAAGAUGGCUGCAGAGCAUGUCUUCCUAUACUGAAUAAGGCCUCCCCUGUACCUCAACCCUGCCAAGGAGCCUUCCCAAUUCUUGAUAGCCUCAAUAGGGAGGGCUCAGAGAGAUGUGAAGUUCAACAAAAUACUGUUUUACACAAGAAAGAAAGUGAACAAUUAGUGGGGAAGAGAUCUUGUAACCCAUGAUUCUCUGAGCAUUCCAGGCUGCCCCAAACCAGGGAGACUAUAGAUAGGGUAGCCAUUUGGACGUUAAUGUAGUGGAGAGAGGCCAUCAGGCUGUAAACUGCAUGGACAAGCUGGGCUCUCAGUAUGGACCAGGCUCCCUGGAGAUGCGCAGGGUAUCUACUGAGGAAGUGCGGAGGUCCUGGGUAGGAGGGAUGAUAGGGCUGGUAGCCAGAGAUGUCAUGUGACAAAACAGGGCCUCUUUCCUGCAAAAGGACCUUCCCCAUUUCUGGGGAAUGGCCACAGGCUUGCUCUUGCCUCUCCAUUUCCCCCCGCACAGUGGGUGUUCAUCCUCCCAUGUUCACGCUCACUUGAGCACACAGGUGCCAGACAUCAGCCCGUAUGUGUCACAAGCCAUUCACAAGUGGCAGACUCACACUCAAACACAGGGCAUUCUCUAGUUCCCAGUCUGUGUUCUUUUUGAAUGCUGGAUGGAUCGUCCAGCCUGAGGGCCUGACCUCCUGGCAGAACUUGAAAAACUCUAGAUUAGGCACACAGGACAAUGUGAGUCCAAGGGCCAGGCCUUUCCUUCUGUCCGUCAGGAUCUGGAUUCAUCCCAGGUUGGACAACUUGUGGGUGGGCUUUGUCAGCUUGUUUUCUGUGCUUCCUGAUUUGUCCUUUCUGUCUGUAUUUAUUCCUAGAUUGCUCCCAGAGUGCCAUGUAUAUUUUGUGUUAUCCAAGAGGGUGCCUGGCCACCACAUAUGGCCCCUGAGCAUCCAACAUUCAGAAUGUCAUACACACUAGAUGUAGAGUUGCUGAAUGAGAAGGAGAUCAUUGAUUUCUUGAGAUGUUGGCUACAGAAAUGACAGUGCUUGGGAUGUGUUGGGUUAAAGAAAACACAUUAUUAAAGUGAGCCUGACUGCCAGCUGCUCUUGGAAGCCACUGUGGCCUUGGUAGCUCCUCUUUGCUGGCUCUGUGCCUUUCAGCGGCUGUCUGUGGUCUUUCCACGAUCCUCUAGGAAAUGGAAAGGGAAGAAACAAAUGCAGUGGAAAGGACUGAGCCUGCGAUCACUAGAGGCAGCCAGAGCCCCUCCCAGCUCCUCUCAAAGUUACCCUUGUAACAAUCAAAGCUUCCUCACUUGCAGCAGUAAAAAGAAGUAUACAUUGUAUUUAUUGCUGGAGUGGUAUUCUUUCUAGAUUAGCUUUAAUUCUGUUUAAUUACAUUGUGAUCAUUAACCGAGCUGCAACUUUUUGUUAUUAGAUAUUUUCUUUAUUUACAUUUAAAAUGUUAUCCCCCUUCCUAGUUUCCCCUACCAAAACCCCCUAUCCCAUCCCCACUCCCCCUGCUCCCCCAAUCCACCCACUCCCGCUUUCCUGUCUUGGCAUUCCCCUACACUGGGGCAUCGAGCCUUCACAGGACCAAGGGCCUCUCCUCCCAUUGAUGUCCAACAAGGCCAUUCCCUGCUACAUGUGCAUGCCCCGUGCUUUCACUGCUCUGUGAGUGGGCUGUGGGGGGAAAGGUGGUGCUGAAUUUCAUUCUGCAAAGCAAAGCAAGCAAAACAAAACAGUAUCAGAUCGUGAAUGUCACUGUGCUGAGCAUCCAGUGUGAAUGAUCAGGGCUCUACAGUCUAGAGCCCUUGUCUUGUGUGGACCACGGCAGGUGCCCACACUCUCAUCUCGAAAACAGAAAGAAGUGAAAGUAAUUUUAGAAGCAGUGUCUGAGAAUUUGAAUGUAUUUACAGACAGGAAGCCAUGGGUCCCUCCAUGUGGAGAUACAGAGACAAAGUGUGGAGCAGAGACUGAAGGAAAGGCCAUCCAGAGACUGCCCCACCUGGGGAUCCAUCCCAUAUACAGCUACCAAACUCAGAUACUAUUGUGAAUGCCAACAAGUGUGCAACUUUUGAAGAAUCUUGCUACUACUGUUGGAUGGAGGAACGUUGAUUCUAGGAGUGACUGUGCAAAUCCCAUGGCAUUACAAGGAAGCCUCUCUCUGCUAUUUUCAAACUUUUAGUCAGCACUUGACACUUUCUGGCUUUAAUUUUGCCUUACAAAUGAGUGUAACUGCCACCACUCAAACAAAACAGAAUUCUGAACAGAAAUUUGUCUUUUGUUGUCUAUACCAACCAAGAGUGAGUUCCUUCUCAAAAUUCCUUUUGGGGCUAACAUACACAUUUAGAAUGAUAUGAAAUGAGACUUAAACCAAGGAGGCCAUGAGGGAACAUGCUUAUAAAUGUCUAUUUUACAUGUAUUCAUUUACAUUUAUUCAUGCACUGGCAGUGUGCUUGCCAUGGUGAACAAGGAGGUUAGAAGACAGUCUUCAGGAGUCACUCCUCUCCUUCCAACUUGUGGGUCCCAGGGAUCUAACUCAGGCCACCUGGCUUGGCACCAACUGCCUUUGAGAUGUUGAACCAUCUUGCCAAUUCAAGUAAACUUGAUUAUUAAAGAUUCCAAAAUACUCUGUAUAAUAUUUUAGAUACCAGAGGUCUGAAAGUGAAAUUAUAAAAAGUAGAAAUUUUAUUUAGUCAUUUGGUGAUAAGAAAUGAAAAAAACCUGCUCCAUGCUUAUUGUCCUUAAUAUAUUCAAUUAAAGCACACCACGAAAAUUUUACAUGAAUAGGCUUGGCGUACAUACAAUAUCAUUCAAUUUAUUUACUUUAGGUAUUGUAUAACUAAUAUGAAAAAAAUGGGAAAAUGUGAAGUUAAAUCCACUACAUCAAUAAAGUGAAAGUAUCUCAGAGAUAAAUUUUGAAUAAAAUUAUUUUUCAUCAUAAAA